RNAcentral lists this ribosomal RNA (301 nucleotides) under uncultured bacterium. RNAcentral's name for it is "partial 16S ribosomal RNA". It matches the Rfam family "Bacterial small subunit ribosomal RNA", at positions 509 to 807 of the family's 1533-position model. The record is from RNAcentral.
CAGUAGCCGCGGGAAUACAGAGGGUGCGAGCGUUAAUCGGAUUUACUGGGCGUAAAGCGUGCGUAGGCGGCUUUUUAAGUCGGAUGUGAAAUCCCUGAGCUUAACUUAGGAAUUGCAUUCGAUACUGGGAAGCUAGAGUAUGGGAGAGGAUGGUAGAAUUCCAGGUGUAGCGGUGAAAUGCGUAGAGAUCUGGAGGAAUACCGAUGGCGAAGGCAGCCAUCUGGCCUAAUACUUACGCUGAGGUACGAAAGCAUGGGGAGCAAACAGGAUUAGAGACCCGUGUAGUCCCUGUCUCUUAUAC